CAUGCAGUCGAGGGGUAUAUGUCUUCGGAUAUAGAGACCGGCGCACGGGUGCGUAACGCGUAUGCAAUCUACCUUUCACAGAGGGAUAGCCCAGAGAAAUUUGGAUUAAUACCUCAUAGUAUUAUUGAGUGGCAUCACUUAAUAAUUAAAGUCACAACGGUGAAAGAUGAGCAUGCGUCCCAUUAGCUAGUUGGUAAGGUAACGGCUUACCAAGGCAACGAUGGGUAGGGGUCCUGAGAGGGAGAUCCCCCACACUGGUACUGAGACACGGACCAGACUCCUACGGGAGGCAGCAGUGAGGAAUAUUGGACAAUGGGCGCAAGCCUGAUCCAGCCAUGCCGCGUGCAGGAUGACGGUCCUAUGGAUUGUAAACUGCUUUUGUACGAGAAGAAACACUGCUUCGUGAAGCAGCUUGACGGUAUCGUAAGAAUAAGGAUCGGCUAACUCCGUGCCAGCAGCCGCGGUAAUACGGAGGAUCCAAGCGUUAUCCGGAAUCAUUGGGUUUAAAGGGUCCGUAGGCGGUUUAGUAAGUCAGUGGUGAAAGCCCAUCGCUCAACGGUGGAACGGCCAUUGAUACUGCUGAACUUGAAUUAUUAGGAAGUAACUAGAAUAUGUAGUGUAGCGGUGAAAUGCUUAGAGAUUACAUGGAAUACCAAUUGCGAAGGCAGGUUACUACUAAUUGAUUGACGCUGAUGGACGAAAGCGUGGGGAGCGAACAGGAUUAGAUACCCUGGUAGUCCACGCCGUAACGAUGGAUAC
This 759-nucleotide ribosomal RNA is filed under the name Flavobacterium sp. RNAcentral describes it as "bacterial SSU rRNA". It matches the Rfam family "Bacterial small subunit ribosomal RNA", at positions 54 to 816 of the family's 1533-position model. The record is from RNAcentral. Lineage: Bacteria; Pseudomonadati; Bacteroidota; Flavobacteriia; Flavobacteriales; Flavobacteriaceae.